This 218-nucleotide unclassified non-coding RNA is filed under the name uncultured Tomentella. RNAcentral describes it as "sequence contains ITS2". The record is from RNAcentral. Lineage: Eukaryota; Fungi; Basidiomycota; Agaricomycetes; Thelephorales; Thelephoraceae.
ACACCUCAACUCCCGUGGUUCGCCACGGUGAGCUUGGACUUUGGGGGUUUUGCUGGCCUGUGGUCGGCUCCUCUCAAAUGAAUUAGCCUGCCAGUGUUUGGUGGCGUCACGGGUGUGAUAAAUAUCUACGCUUGCGAUUGCCCACCAUGUAACCUUCAGCAAUGGGGGUUCGCUGGGGCUCAUAGACGUCUCUCCCUAAGUGAGGACAGUUUUUUAAC